This is a non-coding RNA of Elaeis guineensis (African oil palm), 2963 nucleotides long. The record is from RefSeq and is a predicted model, not a curated record. Lineage: Eukaryota; Viridiplantae; Streptophyta; Magnoliopsida; Arecales; Arecaceae.
CUCCCCGCCCCUCGUUCACCUUAAAUUGGAAGAGGGAAUCGAACGCGGCUGUUGUUUGGCAAAGCUGUCGCGUGUGUCUACCAGGCCAUCCCCCCGCAGGGUCCUCGACAACGGCUCGCUCGGUUCGCGCACCUCCAAUCCCAGUCGUCCAUCGCGUGCGCGGACUCCCCGUCUACAAAUGGAGAACCACGGAAAGCGAAAGAGCCUCCCCUCUUCCUCUCGUCGACCCAAGAAAUCCCGACCGUCAGGGUCUCCAUCGGAUCGUGGAUUUCUCCGCUCCCAAUCCGAUUCUUGGUUACGAUCCAUGGUUGCUGACUCUUCCAACGGAGGCCAGUCCCAGUUUCCGUUUGGAAUGCGGGUUCUGAUCGUGGACGAUGAUGUCAUAUCUCUCAGGGCGGUGGAGUUUCUCCUCUUGAGAUGCGGCUAUCUAGUUACUGCAACCCUGGAUGCGGUUACAGCUCUAAAGCUAUUAAGAGAGAACAGAGACAAUUAUGAUCUUGUGAUUAGUGAUGUUCGGAUGCCUGAGAUGGAUGGAUUUGAGCUGUUAGAAGCCAUUGGACUUGAGAUGGAUGUACCUGUUAUUAUGUUGUCUGCGGAUGGCGAAGUAAAUACAGUGAUGAAAGGUAUUGCGUAUGGGGCUGUUGACUAUUUGGUGAAACCUGUGAGGCUUGAGGAACUUAGGCUCAUCUGGAAGCACGUGGUUAAGAAAUCAUUACAUGGUACAAAGGAGGCUAACAAUCCUGGUGACAGGAAUAAUCAUGAAGAGGAAUUAGAAGAUGAUCAUGAAGAAGAAUUAGAUGAUAAUCAUGAAAUAGAAUUAGAAGAUAAUCAUGAUAGGGAAUUAGAAGCCGAUCAUGAAAAAGAAUUAGAAGAUGAUCAUACUACAAAGGUUAUGAGAAAAGGCAAAGAAAGAGAGAGUUCUAGUGAUGGCUCAUCAACACAGAAAAAGCCUAGGUUUGUAUGGUCACCAGAGAUGCACGCUCUAUUCCUGAAAGCUGUUCAUCAUUUAGGCAUAGAUAGAGCAGUGCCUAAAAAAAUACAAGAUUUAAUGAAUGUCCCAGGACUUACUCGUGAGACUAUUGCAAGUCAUUUGCAGAAGUAUAGACUGGCUAUUAAGAAGAAUCGUAUGGGAAUGAAUCUACAAUAUUAUGGUGGUGUUGGUCCAAAUGGAUGUGGUGGAAGCUAUCCAAGCUUAUUUCUCCUUCCCUUUAAUCAACAUCUCCUUUCAAAUGUCAAUACUCCUGGAGGUCUUAAUCCAGUUUGUCAUUCUCAAAAUUCUCAUUAUAACCUUUCUCAAAUUACACCAGCAUGGUUACCUCAUUUGAUGAACAAUCAAGAUAAUGUACACCAACAAUUUAUGGCAAAUCCCCAAGCAGGUCAAUUAAAACUGCAACAGUUUGGAUAUGCAUUGAAUCCUUAUGUGGUAGGAACAUCAAAUACUGAAUCAGGAUUCCAGGGCUCAGCCUAUCACUAUCUCACUGCAAGACCAAAUCAAGUUGACGGCCAUAUGCAGAAUUCUUCUCAUAAUCCUUGUUCAAGCACUGGAAAUCCUGGACCAAAUUCAGGUCCCCAACCUGGGCAUUUGUCAAAUCCUUUCAUGAUGGGGACAUCAAAUGCCCUGUCAGGAUUCAACAGCUUGAGCUGUCAGGGUCUUACUUCAACAGAUCAAGUUGAUGGCUCUGUGCAGAAUUCUUCUUAUCAUCCUUGUGCAAACAGUGGACAUCCUGGACCAAGCUCAGGUUUCCAACCUGGGUUGUUCUUUGACGAUACCAACUUUCAGCAUGAUGUCUUGGAAGACAGCACCUUAGCUGAGUUGAAUGCAAGAUCUCCAAUGCAAUAUGAGCAGAAUAAGUUUGUUGACCACACUGGAGCAGAUGUGGGAAUGCAAGGAAGUGGAGACUCAAUGGAUUUGCAGAGUUGUCCUGAUGGAGAAAUAUUCAAAGAAAUAAGUAAUUCAGACUUGACAAAACAUCCUUCAGAGCAUUCACCAUCGGAAACAGCAUUUGACAUUGACAAGUGUGACUCUAUGGAUGAUCUUGAUACAUUCUUCAAGCAGUUUCAGCAGUAGCAAGGUUCUCGGGGCAGUUGCUGGACGUUUCUGGUCUCACUUUUCACGUCAGCUUAGAACAAGACAUAUUUCUGAUUGCCUUUGUAUAGCUCAGAAAGUUUGCCGAUUAGUGAAUUGAUUGGACGUCAUGCACAUCUAGUGGAUGGCAGAGGUCCUCAAUAUUUCAGUUUCCCAUUUUUUAUUCUUUUGAGAGAGAGUCACCCCAUUGCUUCCAAUCUGUUUGUCGCCAGCUGUUAUAUUCUUCGCAUUCCGUUGCCCCUCAUCAUGGCACCUCUAUUUAUCCGUUGCUGCGCGCACUCUUUUUCUUCUCGGCCGCUGGGCUUUGGAAGGGCUUUGGAAGCCGCGAUCGGAAAGCCAUCGGCAAUGCCGCAACUAGCGUUUCGCCUGCGAUAUUCCCCUCUCCAAGAAGCCCUCUUCCCUCGAAAUCUCCCGUUCCGAAUCCCUUCUUCCCCCCGCUCCUCGUCUCCCCCCACACCUUCUCCCUGUCGCCGCCUCGUGAGAACCUCCUCCGCUCCCAGUCUCCGACGGUUGACGUCGCGGAUCGUCAAGCUCACGAGAAGGAGGCAGCUGCAUCAGAUCUUUGAGGAAGUGGAGGUCGCGAGGAAGCGUUACAGGAAGCUGAACACCAUCGUGAUGAAUGCGGUCCUGGAAGCGUGCGUUCAUUGUGGGGACGUUGAUUCGGCUCAACGGAUCUUUGAGGAGAUGGCCAAGCCGGAAAGCUGCGGUGUUGACAGCGUCUCCUACGGUAUCUUGUUGAAGGUAAGUCAAGAAUUGCAGGUUUCUUUAUUCCUUUUCUAAGUUCUUUGAUUACUAGAUUGACUUAUAUGAGAAAUUUUAUGGUUGUGAUAGAUUGUUAUAUUUAGGUUUUAUGAUUCGGAAGUUGAUAUUGAACCAA